UACGUAGGGGGCAAGCGUUGUCCGGAAUCAUUGGGCGUAAAGCGCGUGUAGGCGGUUUCGUAAGUCUGCUGUGAAAGUCGGAGGCUCAACCUUCGAAAGCCGGUGGAUACUGUGAGACUUGAGUACGGAAGAGGAGAGUGGAAUUCCUGGUGUAGCGGUGAAAUGCGCAGAUAUCAGGAGGAACACCAACGGCGAAGGCAGCUCCCUGGGACGUUACUGACGCUGAGACGCGAAAGCGUGGGGAGCAAACAGG
RNAcentral lists this ribosomal RNA (253 nucleotides) under uncultured bacterium. RNAcentral describes it as "partial 16S ribosomal RNA". It matches the Rfam family "Bacterial small subunit ribosomal RNA", at positions 524 to 776 of the family's 1533-position model. The record is from RNAcentral.